CGCGUAGGUGGUCAGGCAGGUCAGUGGUGAAAGCCCCCGACCCAAUCGGGGAAUUGCCUCUGAAACCUCCUGACUGGAGUGCAAAAGGGGAGAGUGGAACUCGAGGUGGAGCGGUGAUAUGCGUAGAUAUCUCGGGGAACGCCGGUGGCGAAAGCGACUCUCUGGUUUGUUACUGACACUGAUGCGCGAAAGCCAGGGGAGCAAACG
RNAcentral lists this ribosomal RNA (207 nucleotides) under uncultured bacterium. Its description in RNAcentral is "partial 16S ribosomal RNA". It matches the Rfam family "Bacterial small subunit ribosomal RNA", at positions 568 to 774 of the family's 1533-position model. The record is from RNAcentral.